UCCACGAAACCCACGGUACCGCACAGUGC
Molecule: small RNA, 29 nt
Filed under: Bombyx mori (domestic silkworm)
Lineage: Eukaryota; Metazoa; Arthropoda; Insecta; Lepidoptera; Bombycidae
Description: ovarian small RNA-7161
Source: RNAcentral